UAUUGAUUAUGACGUACUUGUACUGAUUGAGAUUUUAACACGAAGUGAGUGGCGAACGGGUGAGUAACACGUGGGUAACCUGCCCAGAAGUAGGGGAUAACACCUGGAAACAGAUGCUAAUACCGUAUAACAGAGAAAACCGCAUGGUUUUCUUUUAAAAGAUGGCUCUGCUAUCACUUCUGGAUGGACCCGCGGCGUAUUAGCUAGUUGGUGAGGUAAAGGCUCACCAAGGCAGUGAUACGUAGCCGACCUGAGAGGGUAAUCGGCCACAUUGGGACUGAGACACGGCCCAGACUCCUACGGGAGGCAGCAGUAGGGAAUCUUCCACAAUGGACGCAAGUCUGAUGGAGCAACGCCGCGUGAGUGAAGAAGGGUUUCGGCUCGUAAAGCUCUGUUGUUAAAGAAGAACGUGGGUAAGAGUAACUGUUUACCCAGUGACGGUAUUUAACCAGAAAGCCACGGCUAACUACGUGCCAGCAGCCGCGGUAAUACGUAGGUGGCAAGCGUUAUCCGGAUUUAUUGGGCGUAAAGCGAGCGCAGGCGGUCUUUUAAGUCUAAUGUGAAAGCCUUCGGCUCAACCGAAGAAGUGCAUUGGAAACUGGGAGACUUGAGUGCAGAAGAGGACAGUGGAACUCCAUGUGU
RNAcentral lists this ribosomal RNA (642 nucleotides) under Pediococcus pentosaceus. Its description in RNAcentral is "bacterial SSU rRNA". It matches the Rfam family "Bacterial small subunit ribosomal RNA", at positions 64 to 676 of the family's 1533-position model. Lineage: Bacteria; Bacillati; Bacillota; Bacilli; Lactobacillales; Lactobacillaceae. The record is from RNAcentral.